UAGACGUGGUCAGGGCACCAAUCUGAGGUA
RNAcentral lists this non-coding RNA (30 nucleotides) under Homo sapiens (human). Lineage: Eukaryota; Metazoa; Chordata; Mammalia; Primates; Hominidae. The record is from RNAcentral.